CCACCCUUGAAAGAGUGCGUAACAGCUCACUGGUCUAGUGGUUCCGCGCCGACAAUGUAGCGGGGCUCAAGCACACCACCGAAGACGCGGCAGUAGCUUUGCUACUGGGUAGGAGAGCGUCCCAUGCGGGGCGAAGCGGCGGCGCAAGCCCGCCGUGGACUGCAUGGGAGUGAGAAUGCAGACAUGAGUAGCGAAAGACGGGUGAAGAUCCCGUCCGCUGGACGACCAAGGGUUCCAGGGCCACGUUCAUCGUCCCUGGGUGAGUCGGGUCCUAAGGCGAGGCCGACAGGCGUAGUCGAAUGGAUGAACGGGUCGAUAUUCCCGUACCGGCAUGCAACCGACAAAACCGAAUCCGCGAGUACUAACCUCCGGGUCCGGGCUUACGUCUCCUUCGGGAGCCGGAUGCCCUGGCCUGUUGGGACCGUAACGGUAGUAGGUCAGCGCGGGAGUGACGCAGAAGGGUAGCCGGCCGCGGAGGUGGUCUUCCGUGGUCAAGCACGCAGCCCGUCCCACAGGCAAAUCCGUGGGGCGCGUGGGCGAGGUGCGAUGAUGGGCGCCGCAGGGCGCGAUAUCCGGUGAUCCCGGCUGCCGAGAAAAGCUUCGGCGUGAGGCGGCGUGCCGCCCGUACCCCAAACCGACACUGGUGGUCAGGUAGAGAAUACCAAAGCGAUCGAGCGAAUCCUGGUCAAGGAACUCGGCAAAUCACUCCCGUUCCUUCGGUUUAAGGGAGACCCCCGAUGGUGAAGCGGCUUGCCCGUGGAGCUUUUGGGGGUGGCACAGACCAGGGGGUAGCGACUGUUUACCAAAAACACAGGAGCGUGCGAAGGCGCAAGCCGCUGUAUACGCUCUGACGCCUGCCCGGUGCCGGAAGGUUAAGAGGAUCCGUCAGGCUUCGGCCGAAGCGGUGAAUUCAAGCCCCGGUAAACGGCGGUGGUAACUAUAACCAUCCUAAGGUAGCGAAAUUCCUUGUCGGGUAAGUUCCGACCUGCACGAAUGGCGUAACGACUUCCCCACUGUCUCGACCAGGAGCUCGGCGAAAUUGCAGUACGAGUAAAGAUGCUCGUUAAGCGCAGAAGGACGAAAAGACCCCGGGACCUUUACUAUACCUUGGUAUUGGCAUUCGGUGUGGAUUGUGUAGCAUAGGCGGAAGGCUUCGAAGCCACGGCGCCAGCCGCGGUGGAGCCGCAAGGUGAAAUACCGCUCUGUUCGCAUUGGAUGUCUAACCUCGACCAGUCAUCCUGGUCAGGGACAGUGCCUGGCGGGUAGUUUAACUGGGGCGGUUGCCUCCCAAAGAGUAACGGAGGCGCUCAAAGGUUCCCUCAGCCCGGUUGGCAAUCGGGUGGCGAGUGUAAGUGCACAAGGGAGCUUGACUGCGAGACUGACGGGUCGAGCAGGGACGAAAGUCGGAACUAGUGAUCCGGUGCCGGUGUACGGACGCGGCAUCGCUCAACGGAUAAAAGGUACCCCGGGGAUAACAGGCUGAUCAUUCCCAAGAGUCCAUAUCGACGGGAUGGUUUGGCACCUCGAUGUCGGCUCGUCGCAUCCUGGGGCUGGAGCAGGUCCCAAGGGUUCGGCUGUUCGCCGAUUAAAGCGGCACGCGAGCUGGGUUCAGAACGUCGUGAGACAGUUUGGUCUCUAUCCUCUGCGCUCGUCGGAAU
RNAcentral lists this ribosomal RNA (1658 nucleotides) under human gut metagenome. RNAcentral describes it as "bacterial LSU rRNA". It matches the Rfam family "Bacterial large subunit ribosomal RNA", at positions 1116 to 2660 of the family's 2925-position model. The record is from RNAcentral.